GCCGCGUUGGCGUAGUGGUAGCGCGUCUCACUUGUAUACUUCCGGUAUUUAUAUGCAAUGAGAAGGUCACUCGUUCAAUCCGGGUACGUGGCA
Sphagnurus paluster is the source of this 93-nucleotide non-coding RNA. Lineage: Eukaryota; Fungi; Basidiomycota; Agaricomycetes; Agaricales; Lyophyllaceae. The record is from the annotation of a GenBank genome assembly.